This 778-nucleotide long non-coding RNA is filed under the name Zea mays. RNAcentral describes it as "long non-coding RNA NONZMAT000998". The record is from RNAcentral. Lineage: Eukaryota; Viridiplantae; Streptophyta; Magnoliopsida; Poales; Poaceae.
UAUUAUUGCACUACAUUCUGGUGUUUUGGCUUAGCAUUUGUCUCAAAUUAUAAACUUAGAUUUGAAUUCAACUUGGAUUUAAAACAAAAAGGAGGAAAGCAGGAAAUCGAAAAGAAAUAAGAAAAACAAAAUUUGCGCUGGGCCAAAUCCUGACCAUGGCUCGGCCCACCCAAGUCGCAUGGCCCGUUACCCCCCUCCGCCUUCUCCUUGUCUGCGGAAAUACAUUGAGUUGCUGAUAGCGGGGGCCCCCUGCUCAACCUCUCCUUCCUACCGCACUGGCCCACUUCUCCAAUGCAAAACACUGUCAAGUGGGUCCUGGUGUCCAGCGCCUACCUCCGCAUAUGGACAUAUGUGCCGCUGGCAUGGGGCCUAGGAUGUCAGCUUCAUCUUCCUAACAACCUAGGCCGCAGAUCGAGCGCGACCGCGCCCAAGUAGAUUCCUAUGCCCAACCUCGGAUCUUCCCCAUGGGCGUCCUCGCGAGGCUAUAUAUCUAUCCGCCGCGGCAUCCCCUUCACCCAUCCUUUGGUGCCAGCACCUGUACCCCAUGCCCCGUCGCUGGCGCAGGGAGCUUUGGAAUCCGCUGCAAGUCGUACUCACCUCCCCGUCGAAUCAACCUUGAUUCUUAGCCACGAGUGAAAGUCGAGGAACUCUGGGAUCUCGUGCACCGACCGGCCGAACCUGAAAUCAUUUUGUGCGCAAGGAAUUGCUCGUCGAAGCUCUGUCUCUGCCGCCAAGUCGCUUCUCACCGGGGACACCACUGCUAACGCCCAAAUUUGUG